RNAcentral lists this ribosomal RNA (301 nucleotides) under uncultured bacterium. Its description in RNAcentral is "partial 16S ribosomal RNA". It matches the Rfam family "Bacterial small subunit ribosomal RNA", at positions 509 to 807 of the family's 1533-position model. The record is from RNAcentral.
CAGUAGCCACGGGAAUACGUAGGUGGCAAGCGUUGUCCGGAAUUAUUGGGCGUAAAGGGCUCGCAGGCGGUUUCUUAAGUCUGAUGUGAAAGCCCCCGGCUCAACCGGGGAGGGUCAUCGGAAACUGGGAAACUUGAGUGCAGAAGAGGAGAGUGGAAUUCCAAGUGUAGCGGUGAAAUUCGUAGAGAUGUGGAGGAACACCAGUGGCGAAGGCGACUCUCUGGUCUGUAACUGACGCUGAGGAGCGAAAGCGUGGGGAGCGAACAGGAUUAGAUACCCGGGUAGUCCCUGUCUCUUAUAC